GCCGCCGUGGCCUACUGGUUAGCGCUUCGGACUUGUAGCCGGAGGGUUGCCGGUUCGAACCCCGACCAGUAGGCA
RNAcentral lists this transfer RNA (75 nucleotides) under Alosa alosa (allis shad). RNAcentral describes it as "tRNA-OTHER". The record is from RNAcentral. Lineage: Eukaryota; Metazoa; Chordata; Actinopteri; Clupeiformes; Clupeidae.